RNAcentral lists this small nuclear RNA (95 nucleotides) under Dipodomys ordii (Ord's kangaroo rat). Lineage: Eukaryota; Metazoa; Chordata; Mammalia; Rodentia; Heteromyidae. The record is from RNAcentral.
GUGCUUGCCUUGGUAGCAUGUAUAUAAACUUGGAACGAUGCAGGUUACCAUAGCCCCUGAACAAGAGUGCCAUGCAGAUUUGUGAAUUUUUUUUU